AGAGUUUGAUCCUGGCUCAGGAUAAACGCUGGCGGCGUGCCUAAUCAAUGCGAGUCGUGCGGUCCUUCGGGACAGCGGCGUCCGGGUGAGUAACGCGUAGCUAACCUGCCCUAUAAGGUGGGGGAUACCCGCCAGAAAUGGCGGCUAAUACCGCAUAGCUUGACAGCCCGACUGGGGCUGGCAAGAAAGCAGAAAUGUGCCUGAGGAGGGGGCUGCGUCCGAUUAGCUAGUCGGUGGGGUAACGGCCUACCGAGGCGACGAUCGGUAGCUGGUCUGAGAGGAUGGUCAGCCACACUGGGACUGAGACAUGGUCCAGAGCUCUACGGGGUUUAGCAUGAAGGGAUAUUGCGCAAUGGGCGAAAGCCUGACGCAGCAACGCCGCGUGUGGGACGACGCCUCUCGGGGUGUAAACCACUUUUCCCAGGGAAGAAGAAUGUGACGGUACCUGGGGAAGAAGCCUUGGCUAAGUACGUGCCAGCAGCCGCGGUAAUACGUACGAGGCGAGCGUUAUCCGGAAUUACUGGGCGUAAAGCGCGCGCAGGUGGCUUGGUAAGUGAGAUGUGAAAUCUCCCGGCCUAACUGGGAGGGGACAUUUCAGACUGGCAGGCUUGAGGACAGCAGAGGUAGGUGGAAUUCCUGGUGUAGUGGUGAAAUGCGUAGAGAUCAGGAGGAACACCGGUGGCGAAGGCGGCCUACUGGGCUGUCUCUGACGCUGAGGCGCGAAAGCUCGGGGAGCGAACGGGAUUAGAUACCCCGGUAGUCCGAGCCGUAAACGAUGGGUACUAGGUGUUCGUGGUAUCGACCCCACGGGUGCCGGAGCUAACGCGAUAAGUACCCCGCCUGGGGAGUACGGCCGCAAGGUUAAACUCAAAGGAAUUGACGGGGGCCCGCACAACCAGCGGAACGUGUGGUUAAUUCCACGCACCGGCAAAACCUUACCUGGGCUUGACAGGCAC
RNAcentral lists this ribosomal RNA (956 nucleotides) under uncultured bacterium. RNAcentral describes it as "bacterial SSU rRNA". It matches the Rfam family "Bacterial small subunit ribosomal RNA", at positions 8 to 991 of the family's 1533-position model. The record is from RNAcentral.